CCUGGCGGCCUUAGCGCGGUGGUCCCACCUGACCCCAUGCCGAACUCAGAAGUGAAACGCCGUAGCGCCGAUGGUAGUGUGGGGUCUCCCCAUGCGAGAGUAGGGAACUGCCAU
Molecule: ribosomal RNA, 114 nt
Filed under: Escherichia coli
Lineage: Bacteria; Pseudomonadati; Pseudomonadota; Gammaproteobacteria; Enterobacterales; Enterobacteriaceae
Source: RNAcentral